This 772-nucleotide unclassified non-coding RNA is filed under the name Leishmania donovani. RNAcentral's name for it is "gene:unknown". The record is from RNAcentral. Lineage: Eukaryota; Euglenozoa; Kinetoplastea; Trypanosomatida; Trypanosomatidae.
UUGGAUCGUUUUUCUUCUCUCUAACGAGUCGCGACGAGGCCGAUGCCGCCCGAGCCCACCCCCACCCCUCUGCUCCUGUGUCGCUGCUUGUCAGAGCCGUGCGCUUUCGCCUCCCACUCUGGAGCAUCCUCUCCGCGCGUGCGACUCUCUUUCCGUCUCCCUCGCCAGUGGCAGUGUUUGACGAGGGGAGGCGCCGUGCACUGCUUCUCUCUGCAUGCGGCGUGGCAGAUCGGGAUGGGGAUGGGUGCUGAGGUAGUGGCGGCGUCCGUUCCCGCGAUCGCUUUGAUUUGGUAUUGCAGCCGUGGCCCUGGCGCACGCACGCGCGCUUGCACAGGCACCCGCACCGCCCCUCCACACGCGGAGGCGUUUUCUUUGCGUUUCGUUGUGUGCCGGCGUGUGGACGUGUGCAUGGGCGCACGGCGGCGCCGUCAACGGAAAGCGCCAAAGGCACAAAGAGAGGGAAAGUGGCAUGCGCCUGCGCCUCACGGUUUCCGUGCUGCACGCGAACGCAAGCGAGCGUGGCUGCUUGUGCUCCCGCCAAUGCGAAGCAAUCACCCGCUCGACUGCCUGCAUGCCAUGCACGUGAGCGGCGAGCACGUCUGCACAUCGGUUGUGCUCCAUCCCUGCCCCCUCCCCCUCUUUUCCCGCUGCUGUUUGCCUUCCGACAUGUGACGCUCUGCCUUCCAUCUCUGCCGCCCUUCCUCUGCACCCUUUCUCGCACGUUUCGCUUGAUCAUCGACUCCCCCCUCCCCCCACACACACACCGCGAUAG